Molecule: ribosomal RNA, 460 nt
Filed under: uncultured bacterium
Lineage: Bacteria
Description: partial 16S ribosomal RNA
Rfam family: Bacterial small subunit ribosomal RNA
Source: RNAcentral
CCUACGGGUGGCAGCAGUGAGGAAUAUUGGUCAAUGGACGAAAGUCUGAACCAGCCAAGCAGCGUGAAGGAUGACGGCCCUAUGGGUUGUAAACUUCUUUUAUAUGGGAAUAAAUGGUUCCACGUGUGUGAUUUUGUAUGUACCGUAUGAAUAAGGAUCGGCUAACUCCGUGCCAGCAGCCGCGGUAAUACGGAGGAUCCGAGCGUUAUCCGGAUUUAUUGGGUUUAAAGGGAGCGUAGGUGGAUUGUUAAGUGAGUUGUGAAAGUUUGCGGCUCAACCGUAAAAUUGCAGUUGAAACUGGAAGACUUGAGUGCAGUAGAGGUAGGCGGAAUGCGUGGUGUAGCGGUGAAAUGCUUAGAUAUCACGAAGAACACCGAUUGCGAAGGCAGUUCACUGGACUGUAACUGACGCUGAGGCUCGAAAGCGUGGGUAGCAAACAGGAUUAGAUACCCCUGUAGUC